Nilaparvata lugens (brown planthopper) is the source of this 141-nucleotide small nuclear RNA. RefSeq annotates it as U11 spliceosomal RNA. Lineage: Eukaryota; Metazoa; Arthropoda; Insecta; Hemiptera; Delphacidae. The transcript has a single exon. The record is from RefSeq and is a predicted model, not a curated record.
UUAAAUGGCGUUUGUCACUUACAUGACAUGCUAUCUGCUGGGUCUUCGGGCCCAGGGUUUGUAGGGUAUGACCAUCAAGACAUACUCAACGCAUAAUAUUUGGAUUCUUGUUUUUUAAUAUUUUAUUAAUUUUAAAGGGUA